AUGAUAUGCUUGCAUCUACUGUAUGGUCUAUCCCUCUUGCUUAAUCGUCCUUGGUUUCUCCUGUCGGUGGUUAGUUCUGCUUCCUAUCCCGGUGGAAAUUUGUGCGCAAGAUGUCCAGAUGAAUGUUCUUCCUUGGUUUAUUUCUCUCCGUGUUCCUCUGAUUUUCCAUGGCGAAGGCUCUAUUGGGGGCUUCUUGGCCUUUUUGUUCGGCUCUCGCCAAGUUCUGCCUUUAUGAUCUUGCUCUGCUAUUCCCCUGUCAUGGUUCCAAGAUUUAAUCGUCUUCUUGUUUCUUGUCUGAACUUUGAAGGCCGCAAUCUGCUGGGUGCUGCAGGGGCUGAUCGAGCGAAGCGGAACAAGGCCAUGAUCGUCAAGAUCGCGGUGCCCGUGCUGCCCAUGCUGCUGCUGCUGCUCACGGCGUCGGCUGCCUCCAUGACGCCGGAUGACCGCGCCUGCCUCCGCGCCUUCUUCGGCAGCAACUACUUCCUGACGAUCUGCGUGCUCUCCCAGAUCAACGUGGGCCGUCUUAUGGCGAGGGAGGCCGUUCUGGCGCCGACGCUGGCGGCCCGGCGCGUCUUGGCGGUGGGCGCCGUCGCGUGCUUCGUGGAGCUCGCGCUCAAGCUGUACAUGAUCCUGGUGCUGUACCCUGCGGCUGUGGAGGAUGGUGCUUAG
RNAcentral lists this ribosomal RNA (669 nucleotides) under Triticum aestivum (bread wheat). RNAcentral describes it as "partial small subunit ribosomal RNA". The record is from RNAcentral. Lineage: Eukaryota; Viridiplantae; Streptophyta; Magnoliopsida; Poales; Poaceae.